GCGUACGGCCAUACUAUGGGGAAAACGCCUGAACCCGUCCGAUUUCAGAAGUUAAGCCUCAUCAGGCCUUCUCAGUACUGGGGUGGGCGACCACCUGGGAACGGAGGGUGCUGUACGC
Molecule: ribosomal RNA, 118 nt
Filed under: Menoidium pellucidum
Lineage: Eukaryota; Euglenozoa; Anisonemea; Natomonadida; Astasiidae
Source: RNAcentral